CGAAAGAAAAAGAGUGGCGAACGGGUGAGUAACACGUGGGUAACCUGCCCAUCAGAAGGGGAUAACACUUGGAAACAGGUGCUAAUACCGUAUAACACUAUUUUCCGCAUGGAAGAAAGUUGAAAGGCGCUUUUGCGUCACUGAUGGAUGGACCCGCGGUGCAUUAGCUAGUUGGUGAGGUAACGGCUCACCAAGGCAACGAUGCAUAGCCGACCUGAGAGGGUGAUCGGCCACACUGGGACUGAGACACGGCCCAGACUCCUACGGGAGGCAGCAGUAGGGAAUCUUCGGCAAUGGACGAAAGUCUGACCGAGCAACGCCGCGUGAGUGAAGAAGGUUUUCGGAUCGUAAAACUCUGUUGUUAGAGAAGAACAAGGAUGAGAGUAAAAUGUUCAUCCCUUGACGGUAUCUAACCAGAAAGCCACGGCUAACUACGUGCCAGCAGCCGCGGUAAUACGUAGGUGGCAAGCGUUGUCCGGAUUUAUUGGGCGUAAAGCGAGCGCAGGCGGUUUCUUAAGUCUGAUGUGAAAGCCCCCGGCUCAACCGGGGAGGGUCAUUGGAAACUGGGAGACUUGAGUGCAGAAGAGGAGAGUGGAAUUCCAUGUGUAGCGGUGAAAUGCGUAGAUAUAUGGAGGAACACCAGUGGCGAAGGCGGCUCUCUGGUCUGUAACUGACGCUGAGGCUCGAAAGCGUGGGGAGCGAACAGGAUUAGAUACCCUGGUAGUCCACGCCGUAAACGAUGAGUGCUAAGUGUUGGAGGGUUUCCGCCCUUCAGUGCUGCAGCAAACGCAUUAAGCACUCCGCCUGGGGAGUACGACCGCAAGGUUGAAACUCAAAGGAAUUGACGGGGGCCCGCACAAGCGGUGGAGCAUGUGGUUUAAUUCGAAGCAACGCGAAGAACCUUACCAGGUCUUGACAUCCUUUGACCACUCUAGAGAUAGAGCUUCCCCUUCGGGGGCAAGUGACA
RNAcentral lists this ribosomal RNA (967 nucleotides) under Enterococcus sp. RNAcentral's name for it is "bacterial SSU rRNA". It matches the Rfam family "Bacterial small subunit ribosomal RNA", at positions 82 to 1036 of the family's 1533-position model. Lineage: Bacteria; Bacillati; Bacillota; Bacilli; Lactobacillales; Enterococcaceae. The record is from RNAcentral.